CUGUCUUCUGAUAGAAACGAACAUUCCUUGGAGAUUAUGCAUCAAAUUUAACAAAUGUGCAGGGCUCCGAGAGUCCCGAGGCCCGGUGUACGCUUCCCCCGCCCGAUCAGCCUUGCAGGGAGGGCCGCCCCAAACUGCUUUUUGGCGCGCGGGUGCCCCAGCCACAGGGCGCAGAGCACUUUGGCGCUUCCCUGGGUGAUCUGAUCUACGCCAGGUUCCGCGGUGGUCCCAGGAGCCUGCGGUUCCGAGAAGCCUGUAUCACAGUCAGGAUCCAAGACAGCACUGGUUUUCCUUCUCCAUUUUGCUUUGCCUGCAGCUAC
This 320-nucleotide long non-coding RNA is filed under the name Meriones unguiculatus (Mongolian gerbil). RNAcentral describes it as "lncRNA (ENSMUGG00000025891.1)". Lineage: Eukaryota; Metazoa; Chordata; Mammalia; Rodentia; Muridae. The record is from RNAcentral.